This 497-nucleotide ribosomal RNA is filed under the name uncultured bacterium. RNAcentral describes it as "partial 16S ribosomal RNA". It matches the Rfam family "Bacterial small subunit ribosomal RNA", at positions 28 to 507 of the family's 1533-position model. The record is from RNAcentral.
GAUGAACGCUGGCGGCGUGCCUAAUACAUGCAAGUCGAGCGAACAGACGAGUAGCUUGCUCCUCUGACGUUAGCGGCGGACGGGUGAGUAACACGUGGAUAACCUACCUAUAAGACUGGGAUAACUUCGGGAAACCGGAGCUCAUACCGGAUAAUAUAUUGAACCGCAUGGUUCAAUAGUGAAAGACGGUUUUGCUGUCACUUAUAGAUGGAUCCGCGCCGCAUUAGCUAGUUGGUAAGGUAACGGCUUACCAAGGCAACGAUGCGUAGCCGACCUGAGAGGGUGAUCGGCCACACUGGAACUGAGACACGGUCCAGACUCCUACGGGAGGCAGCAGUAGGGAAUCUUCCGCAAUGGGCGAAAGCCUGACGGAGCAACGCCGCGUGAGUGAUGAAGGUCUUCGGAUCGUAAAACUCUGUUAUUAGGGAAGAACAAAUUUGUAAGUAACUAUGCACGUCUUGACGGUACCUAAUCAGAAAGCCACGGCUAACUACGUG